CCCGCUGAACUUAAGCAUAUUACUAAGCGGAGGAAAAGAAAUUAACAAAGAUUGCCUUAGUAAGGGCGACUGAACCGGCAAAAGCUCGAAAUUAGAAUCUGGAGUUCAAAGAACUCUCGAAUUGUAAUUAGGGACCCUUAAAUACGACUGCGGACUCAAAUGCAUCGAAAGGCAUCCCAAAGAGGGUGAAAGGCCCGUGAGGUUCGCAGGCGGCAAAGGGGACUGAAUAAGAGUCGGGUUGUUUGGAACUGCAGCCCUAAGCGGGAGAUAUGAGUCUUCCAAAGCUAAAUAGGAAUGGGAGGCCGAUAGUGCACAAGUACUGUGAAGGAAAGAUGAAAAGGACUUUGAAAAGGGAGUGAAAAGAUCUGAAAUCGUUAAGAAGGAAGCGUAACAAACGGACGGAAUGAAGAUGGGGUACGCAGGAAACUGCGGAAAUCCUUCGUAAUUCGGGCAAAAUGAAGUCGGACGAGACAAAAAAGGCGAAAGCUGGAAACGUCACGUUCGGCUUGAGGGGCCAAGGCGAUUUUGCCACAAUCGUUUGUUAUGUCCCGUCUUGAAACACGG
RNAcentral lists this ribosomal RNA (564 nucleotides) under uncultured fungus. RNAcentral describes it as "eukaryotic LSU rRNA". It matches the Rfam family "Eukaryotic large subunit ribosomal RNA", at positions 24 to 664 of the family's 3401-position model. Lineage: Eukaryota; Fungi. The record is from RNAcentral.